AGAACAACUGAAGCUACAUUAUGUGAGUUCAGUGGCUUAAUUUCCAGCUGUAUUUAUAAAACAUCAUGUUUUGCAAGCUGGGGGAGGGGGGAUCAGGUGUCCUUCACUUAGGUUUAUCCAGUGGGAAUUUUCAGCUGUUAAAGGGCCGCUGCACUUGUCAAAUAUACAGGGCUGGGAGGGAGUGAAUUCAAGAAAGGGAGGAGAAGGAGCAGACUCCCAUCAG
Non-coding RNA from Pelobates cultripes (western spadefoot toad), 223 nucleotides. NCBI's taxonomy places the organism in Eukaryota, Metazoa, Chordata, Amphibia, Anura, Pelobatidae. The record is from the annotation of a GenBank genome assembly.